UACGAAGGGGGCUAGCGUUGCUCGGAAUCACUGGGCGGAAAGCGCACGUAGGCGGCCUGUUAAGUCGAACGUGAAAUCCCCGGGCUCAACCCGGGAACUGCGUCCGAUACUGGCAGGCUUGAAUCCGGGAGAGGGACGUGGAAUUCCAGGUGUAGCGGUGAAAUGCGUAGAUAUCUGGAGGAACACCGGUGGCGAAGGCGGCAUCCUGGACCGGUAUUGACGCUGAGGCGCGAAAGCCAGGGGAGCAAACGGG
Molecule: ribosomal RNA, 253 nt
Filed under: uncultured bacterium
Lineage: Bacteria
Description: partial 16S ribosomal RNA
Rfam family: Bacterial small subunit ribosomal RNA
Source: RNAcentral